CGAACGCUGGCGGCGUGCUUAACACAUGCAAGUCGAACGGAAAGGCCCUGCUUUUGUGGGGUGCUCGAGUGGCGAACGGGUGAGUAACACGUGAGUAACCUGCCCUUGACUUUGGGAUAACUUCAGGAAACUGGGGCUAAUACCGGAUAGGAGCUCCUGCUGCAUGGUGGGGGUUGGAAAGUUUCGGCGGUUGGGGAUGGACUCGCGGCUUAUCAGCUUGUUGGUGGGGUAGUGGCUUACCAAGGCUUUGACGGGUAGCCGGCCUGAGAGGGUGACCGGCCAAAAUGGGACUGAGAUACGGCCCAGACUACUACGGGAGGGAGCAGUGGGGAGUAUUGCACAAGGGGCGGAAGCCUGAUGCAGCAACGCAGCGUGCGGGAUGACGGCCUUCGGGUUGUAAACCGCUUUCGCCUGUGACGAAGCGUGAGUGACGGUAAUGGGUAAAGAAGCACCGGCUAACUACGUG
Molecule: ribosomal RNA, 466 nt
Filed under: uncultured bacterium
Lineage: Bacteria
Description: partial 16S ribosomal RNA
Rfam family: Bacterial small subunit ribosomal RNA
Source: RNAcentral